AUGCUCUGCCAAGGUGUCAUAGCGUAUGCAUGGAUGGGAUCUGAGAGCCAGCAGAAAGAUGAGGAGCAAAAUAUAUGUUACUGGUGCCAUGGUGACAGAGAUGGCAGAUCAGAAGAUGGAGGCUUGAAAAUCUGCAGAGACAGGUUGCCUGCUUCAACCAAGGAAGCUCACAACUUGCCUCUUUCCUCCAUUGUAUUAAGUCAAUUCAGGUGUUAUAGGAGAGAGGAUGCUGGCAGUUACUUGUCUGGAGGGCACACACAUGGCACUGCCAUCCCCUGUGGUGCCAUUGAAGGAGACCUCCAGGGCUUCUGCUUUCUCCUGGAACCAACACCUCUCAGCAAAAUGCCUAACAGCAAAAUGAAGUUUCAUGUUUCAUGUUCGUUUUUUUAAAAAGCUGAUGUGCUAGGCUUCUUAGACUAGUCUUUUGGAUAAGUGAUAUAAAUAAAAAUGCUAAAGGAUGCCUGUCA
Molecule: long non-coding RNA, 467 nt
Filed under: Pogona vitticeps (central bearded dragon)
Lineage: Eukaryota; Metazoa; Chordata; Lepidosauria; Squamata; Agamidae
Description: lncRNA (ENSPVIG00000023765.1)
Source: RNAcentral